UGCCAUCACCUGUUUGUCCAUCAUGAAG
RNAcentral lists this non-coding RNA (28 nucleotides) under Mus musculus (house mouse). The record is from RNAcentral. Lineage: Eukaryota; Metazoa; Chordata; Mammalia; Rodentia; Muridae.